This 217-nucleotide long non-coding RNA is filed under the name Elaeis guineensis (African oil palm). RNAcentral's name for it is "long non-coding RNA (EGUI_LNC048281)". Lineage: Eukaryota; Viridiplantae; Streptophyta; Magnoliopsida; Arecales; Arecaceae. The record is from RNAcentral.
ACCUAAGAUGCAUCGACAGUUCAUCUUGAGGGUGCUGUAGUUUGACUAUACCAUAACUCGAUCUCUUAGUCAUAUAAAGUCUUGAGGUGUAUAUUGGCUGUAAUACAUUCAUUGUAGGAAUUAGAUUAUAUCAAGAUGGGAUCUAUCAACCUCGAUGGAAGAAAAGUAGUCCCAUGUAGAUCAUGAGAUUGAGUCCUAAAGUCCAUGGCCAUGGCAG